RNAcentral lists this ribosomal RNA (301 nucleotides) under uncultured bacterium. RNAcentral's name for it is "partial 16S ribosomal RNA". It matches the Rfam family "Bacterial small subunit ribosomal RNA", at positions 509 to 809 of the family's 1533-position model. The record is from RNAcentral.
CAGUCGCCGCGGUAAAACGGAGGGUGCAAGCGUUAAUCGGAAUUACUGGGCGUAAAGCGCACGCAGGCGGUCUGACAAGUCAGAUGUGAAAUCCCCGGGCUUAACCUGGGAACUGCAUUUGAAACUGUCAGGCUGGAGUCUUGUAGAGGGGGGUGGAAUUCCAGGUGUAGCGGUGAAAUGCGUAGAGAUCUGGAGGAAUACCGGUGGCGAAGGCGGCCCCCUGGACAAAGACUGACGCUCAGGUGCGAAAGCGUGGGGAGCAAACAGGAUUAGAUACCCCGGUAGUCCCUGUCUCUUAUAA